CGGCCGCGGUAUCCUGACCGUGCAAAGGUAGCAUAAUCAUUUGUUCCUUAAUUAGGGACUUGUAUGAAUGGCCCCACGAGGGUUUGACUGUCUCUUACUUUYAAUCAGUGAAAUUGACCUCCCCGUGAAGAGGCGGGGAUAUGAAAAUAAGACGAGAAGACCCUAUGGAGCUUAAAUUAAUAUGUUCUGRRCAUAAAAUUUUGGUUGGGGUGACCUCGGAGAAUAAASRARCCUCCGAACCRAGACUAACCCGUCAAAGUCAAUCCUAUUGAUCAACGAAACAAGUUACCCUAGGGAUAACAGCGCAAUCCUAUUUGAGAGUUCAUAUCGACAAUAGGGUUUACGACCUCGAUGUUGGAUCAGGACACCCCAAUGGUGCAGCAGCU
RNAcentral lists this ribosomal RNA (386 nucleotides) under Crocidura crossei (Crosse's shrew). Its description in RNAcentral is "partial 16S ribosomal RNA". It matches the Rfam family "Bacterial large subunit ribosomal RNA", at positions 1928 to 2563 of the family's 2925-position model. The record is from RNAcentral. Lineage: Eukaryota; Metazoa; Chordata; Mammalia; Eulipotyphla; Soricidae.